CUGACCCAGUGUAGAAACUGGGCAAAGGAGAGCGACUUUUUAUUGGAGCAACUAUCCUCAGCUUCAUCAUCACCCAUCCUUGAUUUCUUUUGAUGGUUCAAUUUGAAUAGCACUCUGUUGGCUAAUGCAAGUAUUUCGCCGUUUGUUUAUACCAAGUUCUAUUAACCAUCUCCAGAAGUGUCUUCUGAACUGACCGUUAGCGCCACUCCCACCGUGCUGCUCGCUACGAUAAUCGCGCCACCACUUGUCCUCCGUAGCUCUGGAGUCCUGGCCUGCCGGUUGCUAACUGGGCCACUUUACAGAGGCAGAAGCAAGCUCAGGGAGGGUAAACAGGAAGGGUAACUAAUUUUCCUGGGAUUACACAGUCGGUAAAUAAUGGAGGCAGCAUCGACCCCAGGCAGUCUGGCCCCAGACACCACACUUUUACCCAAUUCCCACAGCUGCCUGGAAAAUAAAUAGAAAUCAAAUAGAUGUUAACAAGGACCUUUGGGAGUUGUCCGGCGUUUGGGCAACGGAUUGCUUUUCUGUUUCAUGUUAGUCCACCGCCCUCACGUGGCCCCGUCCUGAACUUCACCCUUGUUUGGUCCCAAACUGUAAAGACCCUCACGGUGCUGGGAAACACAGCCCUGCUGGCCUCGGACUGCAGGACAGAAUCCUUACCCCUCCUGGGCCUCCGUUGUGUUCUUUCCAAAAUGGGAUAAUGGUAGCAGGUUAAUGGAAAUAAUUAAAUAAAAUAGUCCAUCUAAAUUCCUGGAUCGAACGAAGGGUCCAAUAAACAUUAGCUGUGCUGUUGUAGUGCUCAGUGCCUCUCUCUCAAAAGCGGGUGGCAACAGACACCCUCACACCUUCGCUGUAAUGAGAGCUCUGCAAAGCCAACUGCAAAUAUUAGGAAUCAGUGUCCUCACGAGGCCAACCCCUUUCCAAGGCUGCUUGGAAAAUGCUUUGCUAGACUAGCUUGGAUCUUGCUGGCUUGACUCAGAUCACAGUUGAGCAAAUGUGCAGAAGAGGAAGAGAUGAGGGAAGGCCUGGCUCAGUGUGCUCAGAGCUUCGAUUUUGAGACUGUUCGGGAGGAAAAGUUCCUCACCAGACAGUGCUCUGCUACUCUUAAAGCUAGAAGGACAGAAAGAUUUCUCCACAGUUGGGGUCAUGGAAAUGUGUAUUUUCUCCAAACCUUUUUUUCACUGAACCAGUUGUUGGAGCCUUCCAUUUGAGACCUUGUGAUGCCUUCAUGGACAUUAUUUCUGCUCAUCCACACAGCCAGCAGGGACUUGUGCAGCAGGAGGGGCAGGCUCAGAGUUAAGCAGCUGCUCCAACGUCACACGGCUAGCCUGGGCCUGAUCUGGAGCUUGUCCCAGAUCUGGAGCUUCCCAGGUUUGGACCUGGGUCACUAGAGCAGAGCCUCCUUGCCUCUUCGUGGAUAUGGAGCCAAUUCACUGUGGCCGAUCACCAGCCUCACAGACUAAGGGGGCAGCCCUGCCCCUGCCUACGCCCCUACCACUGCUGAAGCCAUCUCCUUGCCGACAAACACAAGCAGAAACUUCUCAGGAUCUGCUGCCUCUUGUUCCAAGGAUUAGGCGAGCUUCUGUCUUGAGGACAGAAGAGGCAGCUGGAAGAUCAGGGUUGUGGUUGAAGAAGGCCUAGGAGGACACAAGGCUGGAAGGUUGGGACACCAGAUGGCAUGGACAGUGGGUUGCCCUGCUGUGCAGCAGCCAGCUCUCAACUGCAACCGAGCACUCUACAGACUUAGCAGGCACCUGCAGACGUAACUUGUGGGAGUGGGGAGAGAGGAGGAAAGCGCUGCGCUCAACAGAAACUAGGAAGAUCGAUGAGAAAUGGCCUUGCAGCAGUUCCAAAAGGGUGGGGAGGCAGGUGAGACCACUCACGGCAGCGAUGCACAGGGCCACUUAACGCCCCUUGCUCCAUGAGGAGUUGCAGGGUGUUCCACCAAGACGCAGGUCAGGUUGCCGUCGAGCCCGGUGGAGAUGUGCAGGGUUGCUGGGCACCUGGCAGAGCUGGUCCCUGACACGCACUUUUAUCAUCAGUAAAAUGGGGAUGUUAAGAAUACCUACCGCAGAGUUAUGCAACCGUCGCCAUUAUCUAAUUCGAGAACCUCUUCAACACUCCAGAAAGAAACCCAGUGCACACGAGCUGCCACUCCCCACUCUCUCCUUGCCCAACCCCUGGCAACCACUAAUCCACUUUCUGUGUCCAUGGAUUUGCCUGUUCUGGGAAUUUCAUUUAAAUGGAAUCAUAUACUCUGUGGCGUUUUGCGACUGACUUUUUUCACUUACCAUGUUUGCAAAGUUCAUCCAAGUUGCAGCAUGCGUCAGUACAUCAUUCUUUUUUAUGGCCGCAUAAUAGUCCAUUGUGUAGAUCAUGUUUGUUUAACCUUUCAUCAGUGAAUGGACAUUUGGGUUGUUUCCUCUUUUCAGUUAUUAUGAAUGAUGCUGUUCUGAGCAUGAA
Molecule: long non-coding RNA, 2463 nt
Filed under: Homo sapiens (human)
Lineage: Eukaryota; Metazoa; Chordata; Mammalia; Primates; Hominidae
Description: HSALNT0303934
Source: RNAcentral